GUUAUAGGGACAAGCGAAUAAGUGCACAUGGUGGAUGCCUUGGCGAUUACAGGCGACGAAGGACGUAGUAGCUUGCGAUAAGCUGCGGGGAGCUAGCAAACAAGCUUUGAUCCGCAGAUUUCCGAAUGGGGAAACCCGGCCUUUUAGGUCAUUGCAUACUGAAUACAUAGGUAUGCAAAGCGAACGCGGCGAACUGAAACAUCUAAGUAGCUGCAGGAAAAUAAAUCAACCGAGAUUCCCAAAGUAGUGGCGAGCGAAAUGGGAUGAGCCUGCACGUUUUAGCAUGACGGAUAGUAGAAACCACUGGAAAUUGGUGCCAUAGAGGGUGAUAGCCCCUUAUACGAAAUUCGAUGUGUGGAACUAAGCGUGCGACAAGUAGGGCGGGACACGAGAAAUCCUGUCUGAAUAUGGGGGGACCAUCCUCCAAGGCUAAAUACUCGUAAUCGACCGAUAGUGAACCAGUACCGUGAGGGAAAGGCGAAAAGAACCCCGGAAGGGGAGUGAAAUAGAUCCUGAAACCGUGUGCAUACAAACAGUAGGAGCGGACUUGUUCCGUGACUGCGUACCUUUUGUAUAAUGGGUCAGCGACUUACAUUCAGUGGCAAGGUUAACCAUAUAGGGAAGCCGUAGAGAAAUCGAGUCCGAAUAGGGCGACAGUCGCUGGGUGUAGACCCGAAACCAAGUGAUCUACUCAUGGCCAGGAUGAAGGUGCGGUAACACGCCCUGGAGGUCCGAACCCACUAAUGUUGAAAAAUUAGGGGAUGAGCUGUGGGUAGGGGUGAAAGGCUAAACAAACUUGGAAAUAGCUGGUUCUCUCCGAAAACUAUUUAGGUAGUGCCUCAAGUAUCACCAUCGGGGGUAGAGCACUGUUAUGGCUAGGGGGUCAUUGCGACUUACCAAACCAUUGCAAACUCCGAAUACCGAUGAGUGCGAGCUUGGGAGACAGACGUCGGGUGCUAACGUCCGGCGUCAAGAGGGAAACAACCCAGACCGCCAGCUAAGGUCCCAAAGAUUGGCUAAGUGGAAAACGAAGUGGGAAGGCUAAAACAGUCAGGAUGUUGGCUUAGAAGCAGCCAUCAUUUAAAGAAAGCGUAAUAGCUCACUGAUCGAGUCGUCCUGCGCGGAAGAUGUAACGGGGCUAAGCCAGUCACCGAAGCUGCGGAUAUAUUUCUCGAUACUUGUAUCUUGAUCUAUAUGGUAGGAGAGCGUUCUGUAAGCCUGCGAAGGUGUCUUGUAAAGGAUGCUGGAGGUAUCAGAAGUGCGAAUGCUGACAUGAGUAGCGAUAAUGGGAGUGAAAAGCUCCCACGCCGUAAGCCCAAGGUUUCCUGUUCAACGUUCAUCGGAGCAGGGUGAGUCGGCCCCUAAGGCGAGGCAGAGAUGCGUAGCUGAUGGGAAGCAGGUUAAUAUUCCUGCACCGUCGUAUGAUGCGAUGGGGGGACGGAUCGCGGAAGGUUGUCCAACGGUUGGAAGUGUUGGUUUUUGACUCAUAGAAGGCGCUUAGGCAAAUCCGGGCGCGUAAUUCAAGGGGUCGAGACGAGGAACUUAGGUUCUGAAGCAAUCGGAAGUGGUUCCCAAGAAAAGCCUCUAAGCUUCAGUCAUACGAGACCGUACCGCAAACCGACACAGGUGGGCGAGAUG
This 1638-nucleotide ribosomal RNA is filed under the name Massilia violaceinigra. RNAcentral's name for it is "bacterial LSU rRNA". It matches the Rfam family "Bacterial large subunit ribosomal RNA", at positions 1 to 1674 of the family's 2925-position model. Lineage: Bacteria; Pseudomonadati; Pseudomonadota; Betaproteobacteria; Burkholderiales; Oxalobacteraceae. The record is from RNAcentral.